Molecule: ribosomal RNA, 467 nt
Filed under: uncultured bacterium
Lineage: Bacteria
Description: partial 16S ribosomal RNA
Rfam family: Bacterial small subunit ribosomal RNA
Source: RNAcentral
GACGAACGCUGGCGGCGUGCUUAACACGUGCAAGUCGAACGGAAAGGCCCUGCUUUUGUGGGGUGCUCGAGUGGCGAACGGGUGAGUAACACGUGAGUAACCUGCCCUUGACUUUGGGAUAACUUCAGGAAACUGGGGCUAAUACCGGAUAGGAGCUCCUGCUGCAUGGUGGGGUUGGAAAGUUUCGGCGGUUGGGGAUGGACUCGCGGCUUAUCAGCUUGUUGGUGGGGUAGUGGCUUACCAAGGCUUUGACGGGUAGCCGGCCUGAGAGGGUGACCGGCCACAUUGGGACUGAGAUACGGCCCAGACUCCUACGGGAGGCAGCAGUGGGGAAUAUUGCACAAUGGGCGGAAGCCUGAUGCAGCAACGCCGCGUGCGGGAUGACGGCCUUCGGGUUGUAAACCGCUUUCGCCUGUGACGAAGCGUGAGUGACGGUAAUGGGUAAAGAAGCACCGGCUAGCUACGUG